Long non-coding RNA from Herpailurus yagouaroundi (jaguarundi), 1053 nucleotides. RefSeq lists it as uncharacterized. The transcript is spliced from 4 exons. Lineage: Eukaryota; Metazoa; Chordata; Mammalia; Carnivora; Felidae. The record is from RefSeq and is a predicted model, not a curated record.
CCACGGUAUCUCUGAGGUCUGUCUGUACACAGAUGUGAUUUGUGAUAAUAACACCGCAGAGGACAGGGAGGGAAAGGCACUGUAGGAGAACAAGAUCUUUGCAUGCUACGGAAAGUAAAUCGGUAUUAAUCUGAGCUAGCUUCUUAUGUGUUAAGAGGAACCAGAUAUCCUUUCAGGAACCAUGGAGGCAGCAAAGAACAAGCCAAAGUCUCCCCCUCAUGGAGCUUUUGUUCUGUUGGGAAAAGAGCCUGUUUUCUGGAUCUAGCAUCAACCAGUGCCAUUAAGAACAUCAUGCUUCCAUGAUCAAAAGCGAAACAAUCACCAACUCCUGAACCGCAGCCAGAAUGAUGAAGUAGAUCCAGAUGUCACAGAUCUGAAGCCAAAUGUUUACGUCACAUCUUAAAAACAAUCGGUAUUGAGUCCCGUGAAGCUAUGGAGCCAUACAUCAGGUACUUUCGUGUAUCAAGGAAACAGAGGGUGAUGCUGGCUUUAUAUAGAAAGGUAAUGAAAUAAAUGUCCACAACGUAACUGAAUUUAUGUUGACUCUCUCCCAAAGCCUAACGUUUUCAGUCCACUGAGGCCGAUUUUUCCAGAACCUACCCUCUCCCCUGGCAUAAAGGUUUCAGUUGAAUCUGCAAUGAUUGAGUGGCAAAAUAAUAUUUGUUUUAAAAAAAGAAUAUACCACUGAAACUAAGUUUGUGUUAAUACAAUCUCUAAUGUGAUUUCCAAUCUCAUACCCUAGUAAGACACUUUUUAAAACAUGUGGGUCUCCCUGUCCCUGUUGUUUGGAGUUUUCUCCACUAUGGGUGCCAUCUGUCUGUAACAUCUGUUGUCCCAUGGAUUGCCAAAGUCGAUUUGGAUGAUCUGCCUGGUUUCUUUCUCUUUUGGAUAUUUCUGACUACCUGUCCGUCUUGUUACCCGAAGAGAUGUCGGUCUAUACGGACAAAAGUUGUUGUAACCAUAUUUCUAAAGCCUAAGAUUUGAAUAUUCACAGUCUGAUGAGUAUGACUAAUACCUAAGCAUCCAACAGGGUGUUAAAGUCUAUCUGCAUGG